Molecule: non-coding RNA, 20 nt
Filed under: Arabidopsis thaliana (thale cress)
Lineage: Eukaryota; Viridiplantae; Streptophyta; Magnoliopsida; Brassicales; Brassicaceae
Source: RNAcentral
UUAGUAACAAUGGUAAACUA